UACGGGGGGGGUAAGCGUUGUUCGGAAUUACUGGGCGUAAAGAGCGUGUAGGCGGCCAAACAGGUCCGUUGUGAAAACUGGAGGCUUAACCUCCAGACGUCGACGGAAACCGUAUGGCUAGAGUCCGGAAGAGGAGAGUGGAAUUCCUGGUGUAGCGGUGAAAUGCGCAGAUAUCAGGAAGAACACCAAUGGCGAAGGCAGCUCUCUGGGACGGUACUGACGCUGAGACGCGAAAGCGUGGGGAGCGAACAGG
This 253-nucleotide ribosomal RNA is filed under the name uncultured bacterium. RNAcentral describes it as "partial 16S ribosomal RNA". It matches the Rfam family "Bacterial small subunit ribosomal RNA", at positions 524 to 776 of the family's 1533-position model. The record is from RNAcentral.